UACGUAGGUGGCAAGCGUUGUCCGGAAUUAUUGGGCGUAAAGCGCGCGCAGGCGGCCUCUUAAGUCUGAUGUGAAAGCCCCCGGCUCAACCGGGGAGGGCCAUUGGAAACUGGGAGGCUUGAGUAUAGGAGAGAAGAGUGGAAUUCCACGUGUAGCGGUGAAAUGCGUAGAGAUGUGGAGGAACACCAGUGGCGAAGGCGACUCUUUGGCCUAUAAACUGACGCUGAGGCGCGAAAGCGUGGGGAGCAAACAGG
This 254-nucleotide ribosomal RNA is filed under the name uncultured bacterium. RNAcentral's name for it is "partial 16S ribosomal RNA". It matches the Rfam family "Bacterial small subunit ribosomal RNA", at positions 524 to 776 of the family's 1533-position model. The record is from RNAcentral.